AGCUUUUCAGAGUGGCAGUAUCAUAGUCAAUGAAGAUUUUCUGAGGCAUAAUUAUUGCUAAUUGGACAUAGAAACCACCUUCACUCUUAUAUAUAAAAAUUAUUAUGUGCUACACUAGAUAUUUGAGGAGAAUUGAUAAAAGAAAGACUGUUGU
Molecule: small nuclear RNA, 154 nt
Filed under: Pongo abelii (Sumatran orangutan)
Lineage: Eukaryota; Metazoa; Chordata; Mammalia; Primates; Hominidae
Description: U4 spliceosomal RNA
Rfam family: U4 spliceosomal RNA
About the family: U4 small nuclear RNA (U4 snRNA) is a component of the major U2-dependent spliceosome. The structure of U4 snRNA from yeast and human has been reported.
Source: Rfam by way of RNAcentral